GACUCUCAGCAAUGGAUAUCUCGGCUCUUGCAUCGAUGAAUAAGGUAGCAAAAUGUGAUACUUGGUGUGAAUUGUAGAAUCCCGUGAAUCAUCGAGUAUUUGAACGCAUGUUACACCCGAAGUCAUUAGGCUAAGGGUACAUCUGCCUGGGUGUCA
This is a ribosomal RNA of Malania oleifera, 156 nucleotides long. RefSeq annotates it as 5.8S ribosomal RNA. The record is from RefSeq and is a predicted model, not a curated record. NCBI's taxonomy places the organism in Eukaryota, Viridiplantae, Streptophyta, Magnoliopsida, Santalales, Ximeniaceae. The transcript has a single exon.